GUGACGCGUUCACUUCCAUUCCUGAGAGCCCUUGAUGUGAUGGCGACGGCAUUCCGCCGGAGACCUCUUUCUACCGCCAAUCUCUCCUGGAUGGCACGUCGCCGCGUUUCCGUCCGACCGGACAUGCCCCUCUGGGGGCCCUCGGGCCUCGACGCCCUUCUACGCCCGACGAACCUCAUUGUGUCGCCGAUUCCAGAUGCAGCGUCGGCGGAGGCGACGCCGAAUCUCAACGGACUGGGGAGACGUCUUUCGCCGGAUCAUCCGUGGCGAAUCCCUCCGCAUUCGAGCUAUAACUUUGCCUUCUCAUCCUUUGAUUCAUUCAAUUUGCUUGUCAACGAUGGAUUAGAGCAGGUCAAGUAAUAUUUCAUGUUAGUAGUGAAUUUAAGUUCAGGAGAUGGUUUCAAAUACCAGUGGCUGUAUGCUACCUUCUUUAAUCUAUGCCUGCUGCAGACUCAUCUUCACAUAAUUCCUUGGAAGCCUGGGGACCAGCUAUGGCCUUUUGAGGAGGUUCAGAGUUUCCAAUGGCUUUGCAGCCUCUAGAUUAUGAUGAGACACAUCUUGCAAUGGCAGCGAGUGCAGGUAGUUGCAAUUUGGACAGUGUGGUGAAGAUUUGAACAUCAUGACGAGAAGAUGGCAAUGAACACAGACUAAUGCCACCAUGUUGCUACUUGAACUGCAUUGCUUCUUCAUUUCCUGAGCUGUGUAUGUUGUCUUUCCUUCUGAGAAUGGAAACACUGAGAUGUUAAGAUCCAAGUCCAUGCUUCGCUCUUUUGGCCUCAUCCAUCUUUUUUUCAUGGUCCUCCUGUUCAGUGGCAGGGGAUCAUCGAGCUGGAGGUCAAUGUUACCACUCUGGUUCACUGGAUUACUCCAUAUUGAUUGUUGCUUCCUCUUCGUCGUGGAAAUUGGAUCUGUUUCCUCAGUCGAGAUUGACUGAGGCUGGCCAAGAGAAAGCUCCGUGUGUUCCAUAGCCGCCUGUUUGAUACUGGUGGAGAAAAGCUAAAGAGUUUAUUGUCAAAGAGAAGCUGAUGAAAAAGCCAUGAGUUUAUGGCAGAGUGAAGGUCUUCAUCUAAGAAGUGACAAAGCGAUCAAAGGUAGAUCUAAUCUGUCCACAAUGAUCAUCACGUCGAGUUCUCUCGAGGCAUGACUAGGAGACUAGAGAUUAAAAAAGAAAAGAAAAAAAAAAAAAUAGAAACCACCACCCAAUUCGACAAGGAGACUUGUCGAGUGUGAUUGGGUCAUUAAAUGCCCAAAAAAUAAAAAGGUUCUUCAAAUGGAAAAUAAGUGAAAAUGUGAUUGCAACUUGUGUCGACAUAUGAGGGCGGUCAAUUAGCAUAUUCUGGAUUAUUGUGCCAUUCUUUGAUUUCCCUUAUAUUCUGUCACAUUUGAGUUUAUCUGAGAAGAGAGACAUCAAUCAAUUCCAGCACAUGAAAACAGUGAGAGAGAUUGGAUAAAUGCAUGGAAGAUUUGUUCAUUCUACAUGAGCAGAACCUGCGGAUACGAUGCUGAUAGAAGUUUGUUUAUCAGACAAAGUUGAUGAAAGAGUAUUUCAAAGAUUCUUGUGAGGUGAAGGAUCACAUCGUGGAGCUUGCAACGUAGGCAAUUCUACAACCAUCAAAUAUAUUCCCCAAUUAUUCAUCUCUAUCUCUCCCAUGGCUGCCAAACUCAAGCUGAAUUUUUCUUUUCUUCUGGGACAAUGACAAGAUCAGUGCUGCAGUAAAUGAGGUUUUGCACAUGGCGUGGGAGUCAGUUGCGAGGAAGGAAGAACAGCAUCUCCUCGCUCAUACGUCAACAGGUGAGGAAAAGGUUGGGGACAAUUGUUUAUGGCAGUGGAGUUCACCAAACAAUUGGUGGCCAAAUGAUGCACAAAUAAUUGAAUGAGAGAUGUCAGAUGGAAGGAAGGACGCACGCCGUGCAAGGGAGAAUCCCACCACUCGGCUCCUUUUUUCUUCUGCGGAUUCAUAAACAAAUGUAGUGAUGAAGAAUAAAGGAGAUGAUUGCAUGGGGAUGUGUCAUUGGGCACUGCCAGGAUAACAAUAGUCAAAAAGGUGGCAAAAAAGCCUUAUGUCGCUGGUUUGGAUGAGAGAUUUGGAUCUGAUACAACUAAUCGAGGUUAGUGGCUCUUUUGCUCUGUAGUUUAUUUUUUUGCUAAUGGUGAUUAGAUGCGUAUAGGCAUUUGAUAGGCUAUGAAAGGGACACUGAAACUGCAAUAGUGUCAGAUGAAAAAAGUAAUUAGUUAAUAUAGGUGAAGUUCGUUUCAUCUUCAAAAGAAAAAUAAGAAGAUGAAAAAUUCAGCUGAUUAUGCAGUGCUGAUGGUGCAAAUCCUAUCUAUGAUAUGCUUGGAAUAUACGGCGUGCGAGAAAGAAAAGAGGAUUCAUAUGAUGGAGCAGGGGGAUCGUAUUCCUUAGGAUUUUAUGCAUGACUUGCACUGUAGUGUGGAGGACAAGGUUCUUCCAUGCUUUCUCCCAUUGUUAAUGGGAAAUACAUGGGUGCUUGGAGGACUAAUGAUAGAAAAAGUGGCAAUAUAUUCUCCAAUAACGUUUCAUUUUGACUCAGAUUGUGAUUCUCCAAAUAAUGCUCGUUAAAGUGAUGCAAUGCGCAAUGGGCUUGCGGAUAUUUGGCACCGAACAAGUAUGACUUGCCUGUUAUGAACGAGAUAUGAAUUAAGGUGACAGCAACCUACUCACUGUGGUAUCAGAGGCAAUAAAAUAGUGUUUCUGAAAAUUAGGAAUGGCACACUAAGACGAAAGCAAAGGUUAGAGAUGAUAUAAAGAAGAGAACAAACUUCAGGAGAAGGGGGAGUUUGGUGAUCUUUUCACUAGAUUUAAUUAUAAUGAGAACUUAUGCAUGAUAUAGAUCAUGGUCACACAAUUUGAGAACC
Molecule: RNA transcript, 2878 nt
Organism: Zingiber officinale
Lineage: Eukaryota; Viridiplantae; Streptophyta; Magnoliopsida; Zingiberales; Zingiberaceae
Exons: 6
Source: RefSeq, a predicted model, not a curated record